RNAcentral lists this ribosomal RNA (253 nucleotides) under uncultured bacterium. RNAcentral's name for it is "partial 16S ribosomal RNA". It matches the Rfam family "Bacterial small subunit ribosomal RNA", at positions 524 to 776 of the family's 1533-position model. The record is from RNAcentral.
UCCGUAGGGGGCAAGCGUUGUCCGGAAUCAUUGGGCGUAAAGAGCGUGUAGGCGGCCCGAUAAGUCCGCCGUGAAAGUCCAGGGCUCAACCCUGGAAUGCCGGUGGAAACUGUCGGGCUGGAGUCCGGAAGAGGCGAGUGGAAUUCCUGGUGUAGCGGUGAAAUGCGCAGAUAUCAGGAGGAACACCAAUGGCGAAGGCAGCUCGCUGGAACGGUACUGACGCUGAGGCGCGAAAGCGUGGGGAGCAAACAGG